UACGGUAGGGACCAAGCGUUGUUCGGAUUUACUGGGCGUAAAGGGCGCGUAGGCGGCUUAACAAGUCACUUGUGAAAUCUCCCGGGCUUAACUCGGAACGGCCAAGUGAAACUGAUCGAAGCGUAGAGUGCAGGAAGGGGCAAGUCGGAACGUUCUUGGUGUAGCGGUGAAAUGCGUAGAGAUCCGGAAGAACACCGGUGGCGAAGGCGGCCUGCUGGGCAGUAGCUGACACUGAGGCGCGGACAGCGGUGGGGAGCAACAGG
This 263-nucleotide ribosomal RNA is filed under the name uncultured bacterium. RNAcentral's name for it is "partial 16S ribosomal RNA". It matches the Rfam family "Bacterial small subunit ribosomal RNA", at positions 524 to 776 of the family's 1533-position model. The record is from RNAcentral.